This 254-nucleotide ribosomal RNA is filed under the name uncultured bacterium. RNAcentral's name for it is "partial 16S ribosomal RNA". It matches the Rfam family "Bacterial small subunit ribosomal RNA", at positions 524 to 776 of the family's 1533-position model. The record is from RNAcentral.
UACGUAGGGGGCGAGCGUUGUCCGGAUUUAUUGGGCGUAAAGAGCUCGUAGGCGGUUUGGUAAGUCGGGUGUGAAAUCUCCACGCUCAACGUGGAGGGGCCACUCGAUACUGCCAUGACUCGAGUCCGGUAGAGGAGUGUGGAAUUCCUGGUGUAGCGGUGAAAUGCGCAGAUAUCAGGAGGAACACCGGUGGCGAAGGCGGGUCUCUGGGCCGUAACUGACGCUGAGGAGCGAAAGCGUGGGGAGCAAACAGG